Long non-coding RNA from Dreissena polymorpha, 911 nucleotides. RefSeq lists it as uncharacterized. Lineage: Eukaryota; Metazoa; Mollusca; Bivalvia; Myida; Dreissenidae. The record is from RefSeq and is a predicted model, not a curated record. The transcript is spliced from 4 exons.
UUAAGCUACUUAAACUAGUAUGAUAAAAGCAUUCAAAAUUUAACAAAUUUUCAAACAACAUUAUUUCAUAAAUGACUUUCAGUAGUGAGCUGCGCACUUUAUGUGUAUGCAUGAAUACACAAGUAAUCAAAUACAUUUAAUUGUGAAUGCAUAAUGUUAAACCUUAUUCAAACGCGAUGAAAUGGACAUUUUGAAUUCGAAAUCGGUAAAACCGGAAGAUUUUUUAAGUUGCAAAUACACCAUGACUGGUCAAGAAUGACGUAUAGUCUACUGUUUAAUGUACUUUUUGGACUUUUCAUUUUAAAUGUAUUUGUGCAAUUGAACACCAUUCAUGGGAAAUUUCUUGGUGGUACGAUCUCUUGGAUGGUUCUUCAGAACAAGCUUCGUCUGACAUAUCGCCUAGCAUGGGAAAAAGGGACGGAUGUAACAUCUCGGACGUCGGAAAAGAACUGUCACACUUCAGUACGGAAAUUGCGCAACUUAAAUGGGUGGACGGAAAAGGGACCACUCUCCAUGACGUCAGUUACGUUCUGACAUCAGUCAGUCCAUCAGAUGUGAAUGGCUGGGAACAAGGGGGGCGAUGUUUAAAGCUAGCCUUCCAGCCACUCCUAUGUUUGUUAGGCUGACCGACAUUCCAUGGAUUAUGUCGUCAAACACAAUAGCCACUGAAAUAGGACUGCUGGAGACUGUGAUAAGAACUGAUUUAAGCUGGAGACUGUGAUAAGAACUGACUUAAGAACUGACAAGGGAACACGUAACCAGAGUCCAUAUUCUUUCCUUCCGUCCUUUCUUGGAAUUCCGCUCAACUGCACGAGCGUGUUCGAGAUCCCUGUCGAGGACCCGGGUGGAGACAGGGUAAGGUGUCGAUGGGCGGAGCCAAGUGAAUGUGGAGAAGGAUGCACCAACCUCCC